Molecule: long non-coding RNA, 687 nt
Filed under: Salvia miltiorrhiza (redroot sage)
Lineage: Eukaryota; Viridiplantae; Streptophyta; Magnoliopsida; Lamiales; Lamiaceae
Description: long non-coding RNA (SMIL_LNC007885)
Source: RNAcentral
AAUGGAGAGCUGUGCUGAAGAUUGGUGCCAAUGAGCCAUCACAGCUUGCUAUCAACGACAAUGCCAAUGGUCUGGCACGUUAUGCCAUCAUCUGCCAGGAGAAUGGCUUGGUACCAAUUGUUGAGCCCGAGAUCCUUGUGGAUGGCUCCCACGACAUCAACAAGUGUGCUGAGGUGACAGAGCGUGUUCUUGCUGCUUGCUACAAGGCCCUCAACGACCACCACGUACUGUUGGAGGGAACAUUGUUGAAGCCCAACAUGGUCACACCCGGCUCUGAUGCUCCCAAGGUUACCCCCGAGGUGGUUGCCGAGUACACCGUCCGUGCCUUGCAACGAACAAUGCCCCCUGCAGUCCCGGCUGUUGUCUUUUUGUCUGGUGGACAGAGUGAGGAAGAGGCCACCCGCAACCUCAACGCCAUGAACAAGCUGAAGGCAAAGAAGCCAUGGACCCUCUCUUUCUCGUUCGGACGUGCUCUACAGCAGAGCACCCUAAAGGCAUGGGCCGGCAAAGAGGAGAACGUCGGAAAGGCUCAGGCUGCAUUGCUUACAAGGUGCAAGGCCAACUCAGAAGCAACACUCGGAACCUACAAGGGUGACAGCGCUUUGGGCGAGGGUGCCGAUGAGAGCCUCCACGUUAAGGACUACAAGUACUAGGUUCAGUUUUUUGGCUUCCCUUAGAUUUUCUCGG